This 460-nucleotide ribosomal RNA is filed under the name uncultured bacterium. RNAcentral's name for it is "partial 16S ribosomal RNA". It matches the Rfam family "Bacterial small subunit ribosomal RNA", at positions 338 to 795 of the family's 1533-position model. The record is from RNAcentral.
CCUACGGGGGGCAGCAGUGAGGAAUAUUGGUCAAUGGACGAGAGUCUGAACCAGCCAAGUAGCGUGAAGGAUGACUGCCCUAUGGGUUGUAAACUUCUUUUAUAUGGGAAUAAAAUGUUCCACGUGUGGGAUUUUGUAUGUACCAUAUGAAUAAGGAUCGGCUAACUCCGUGCCAGCAGCCGCGGUAAUACGGAGGAUCCGAGCGUUAUCCGGAUUUAUUGGGUUUGAAGGGAGCGUAGGUGGAUUGUUAAGUCAGUUGUGAAAGUUUGCGGCUCAACCGUAAAAUUGCAGUUGAAACUGGCAGUCUUGAGUACAGUAGAGGUGGGCGGAAUUCGUGGUGUAGCGGUGAAAUGCUUAGAUAUCACGAAGAACUCCGAUUGCGAAGGCAGUUCACUGGACUGCAACUGACACUGAGGCUCGAAAGUGUGGGUAUCAAACAGGAUUAGAUACCCGGGUAGUC